This 1255-nucleotide long non-coding RNA is filed under the name Equus asinus (donkey). RNAcentral's name for it is "lncRNA (ENSEASG00005035147.1)". The record is from RNAcentral. Lineage: Eukaryota; Metazoa; Chordata; Mammalia; Perissodactyla; Equidae.
GAAGAAUUUAUCUCUCCUCAUUUCUGAGCAACAGCUUUUCUGGAUUAGCCCUGAGCUAACACCUGCUGCCAAUCCUCCUCUUUUUGCUGAGGAAGACUGGCCCUGAGCUAACAUCCGUGCCCAUCUUCCUCUACUUUAUAUGUGGGACGCCUACCACAGCAUGGCAUGUGAAGUGGUGCCAUGUCCGCACCCAGGAUCUGAACCAGCAAACCCCAGGCUGCCAAAGAGGAAUGUGCCCACUUAACCGCUACACCACUGGGUCAGCCCCUGGACUUUUAUAUGUAUCUUUUUCUAUAAGUUAAUUUUCCCCUAUAUUGUUGUAUUGUUUUCUAGUGUUUUGGGGGAGUUUAAUAUGCUAACAUAUAAUAACUUAAUUUAGAAUAAUGCCAACUAAAUUUCAAUAAUAUAAGAAAACUUUGUUUCUAUACAGCUCCAUUCCAUCCCCCCUUGUUUGUGCUGUUAUUCUCAUACAAAAUACAUCUUUUACAUUGUGUGCCCAUGAGCAAAAAUUUAUAUUUAUUCCUUUAUGCAGUUUUCUUUUAAGUAACAUAGGGAAAAUAAACUUUUGCAAACAAAAAUAUAUAUGUAUACUCUCUUUUAUAUUUACCUAUGUAGUUAACUUGCUGGUGCUCAUUAUUUCUUUACAUGAAUUUGAAUUACUGCCUCAUUUUGUUUCAUUUCAGCCUGAAAGACUCUCUUUAGUAUUUCUUUUGGGACAGUUCUGCUAGUGAUCAGUUCUCUCACUUUUUUUUUUACCUACAAAUAUGUUAAUUUCUCCUUUAUUUUAAAGAAUUGCUUUGCUGUAUACAGAAUUUUUAUUUGAUAGACUUUUCUCUCAGCACAUUGAACACGUCAUUUUACUGCCUUCAAGACUCCUUGGAUUCCGAGGAUAAAUCGGCAGUUAAUCAUAUUAAUGGUCUCUUGUACAGAAUGAGUUGCGUAUCUCUUGUUACUUUCCAGAUUCUUUCUUUUUCUUUGGCUCUGAAAACUUUUAUUACGAUGUGUUUGGUUAACCAUCUCUGAUUUAUCUCAUUGAGCUUCACGGGUGUAUAGAUUUGUGAUUUUCAUCAAAGCUUGAAUGUUUUCAGUCAUUAUUUCUUCACAUAUUCUUUCUGCUCUUUCUCUCUUUUCUGGGACUCCAUUACUCAUAUUUGCAUAUACUUGAUUAUGACCCAUAAUUCCCUGAGGCUCUGUUUACUUUUUAAUUCAAAUUUAAUUCGAUUUUUCUGUUCUUCAGACUGGAUGCUUUCAAUUG